This 468-nucleotide ribosomal RNA is filed under the name uncultured bacterium. RNAcentral's name for it is "partial 16S ribosomal RNA". It matches the Rfam family "Bacterial small subunit ribosomal RNA", at positions 28 to 507 of the family's 1533-position model. The record is from RNAcentral.
GACGAACGCUGGCGGCGUGCUUAACACAUGCAAGUCGAACGGAAAGGCCCUGCGUUUGUGGGGUGCUCGAGUGGCGAACGGGUGAGUAACACGUGAGUAACCUGCCCUUGACUUUGGGAUAACUUCAGGAAACUGGGGCUAAUACCGGAUAGGAGCUCCUGCUGCAUGGUGGGGGUUGGAAAGUUUCGGCGGUUGGGGAUGGACUCGCGGCUUAUCAGCUUGUUGGUGGGGUAGUGGCUUACCAAGGCUUUGACGGGUAGCCGGCAUGAGAGGGUGACCGGCCACAUUGGGACUGAGAUACGGCCCAGACUCCUACGGGAGGCAGCAGUGGGGAAUAUUGCACAAUGGGCGGAAGCCUGAUGCAGCAACGCCGCGUGCGGGAUGACGGCCUUCGGGUUGUAAACCGCUUUCGCCUGUGACGAAGCGUGAGUGACGGUAAUGGGUAAAGAAGCACCGGCUAACUACGUG